RNAcentral lists this ribosomal RNA (440 nucleotides) under uncultured bacterium. Its description in RNAcentral is "partial 16S ribosomal RNA". It matches the Rfam family "Bacterial small subunit ribosomal RNA", at positions 338 to 795 of the family's 1533-position model. The record is from RNAcentral.
CCUACGGGUGGCAGCAGUGGGGAAUAUUGCACAAUGGGGGAAACCCUGAUGCAGCGACGCCGCGUGAGUGAAGAAGUAAUUCGUUAUGUAAAGCUCUAUCAGAAGGGAAGAAAAUGACGGUACCUGAGUAAGAAGCCCCGGCUAACUACGUGCCAGCAGCCGCGGUAAUAAGUAGGGGGCAAGCGUUAUCCGGAUUUACUGGGUGUAAAGGGAGCGUAGACGGCAGUGUAAGUCUGGAGUGAAAGGCGGGGGCUCAACCCCCGGACUGCUCUGGAAACUGUACGGCUGGAGUGCAGGAGAGGUAAGUGGAAUUCCUAGUGUAGCGGUGAAAUGCGUAGAUAUUGGGAGGAACACCAGUGGCGAAGGCGGCUUACUGGACUGUAACUGACGUUGAGGCUCGAAAGCGUGGGGAGCAAACAGGAUUAGAUACCCGGGUAGUC